CUUUGUCAGCACAUAUGUAUUUCGUCUUCUCGUACACGAGGUAAAAAGGGCUAAUUUACCUUAAUUUCUGACAAAAGGACAUGAAUGCUGAAGUGUUUUCAAGGUGCCCAGUAGAGACUUCUGCACUACCUGGAGGCCCAGGCUCUCCUCGCUCACCUGAAAGAGAAGCAAUAGAGACCUAGGUUUUAUGACAAAGUCUUAGUGGCUUGGACGACACGCGGUUGUAAAGUUGUUGUGGUGAUGGAAGGCAAUAGAGCGGUUUAAAGUCACUGUUGGAGGUAUGCGCAGAUACAAUUCUUGAAUGGAAAUGGCUAGGAUCUUUUAUUAUUAAGGGUAAGCAAGGGGGAAGUAUUAA
Long non-coding RNA from Pocillopora damicornis (cauliflower coral), 355 nucleotides. RefSeq lists it as uncharacterized. The record is from RefSeq and is a predicted model, not a curated record. NCBI's taxonomy places the organism in Eukaryota, Metazoa, Cnidaria, Anthozoa, Scleractinia, Pocilloporidae.